GGGACACGUGGUAUCCUGUCUGAAUAUGGGGGGACCAUCCUCCAAGGCUAAAUACUCCUGACUGACCGAUAGUGAACCAGUACCGUGAGGGAAAGGCGAAAAGAACCCCGGCGAGGGGAGUGAAAAAGAACCUGAAACCGUGUACGUACAAGCAGUGGGAGCACCUUCGGGUGUGACUGCGUACCUUUUGUAUAAUGGGUCAGCGACUUAUAUUCUGUAGCAAGGUUAACCGUAUAGGGGAGCCGCAGGGAAACCGAGUCUUAACUGGGCGUUAAGUUGCAGGGUAUAGACCCGAAACCCGGUGAUCUAGCCAUGGGCAGGUUGAAGGUUGGGUAACACUAACUGGAGGACCGAACCGACUAAUGUUGAAAAAUUAGCGGAUGACUUGUGGCUGGGGGUGAAAGGCCAAUCAAACCGGGAGAUAGCUGGUUCUCCCCGAAAGCUAUUUAGGUAGCGCCUCGUGAACUCAUCUUCGGGGGUAGAGCACUGUUUCGGCUAGGGGGUCAUCCCGACUUACCAACCCGAUGCAAACUACGAAUACCGAAGAAUGUUAUCACGGGAGACACACGGCGGGUGCUAACGUCCGUCGUGAAGAGGGAAACAACCCAGACCGCCAGCUAAGGUCCCAAAGUCAUGGUUAAGUGGGAAACGAUGUGGGAAGGCACAGACAGCCAGGAUGUUGGCUUAGAAGCAGCCAUCAUUUAAAGAAAGCGUAAUAGCUCACUGGUCGAGUCGGCCUGCGCGGAAGAUGUAACGGGGCUAAACCAUGCACCGAAGCUGCGGCAGCGACACUAUGUGUUGUUGGGUAGGGGAGCGUUCUGUAAGCCUGCGAAGGUGUGCUGUGAGGC
This 848-nucleotide ribosomal RNA is filed under the name Klebsiella pneumoniae. Its description in RNAcentral is "partial 23S ribosomal RNA". It matches the Rfam family "Bacterial large subunit ribosomal RNA", at positions 419 to 1269 of the family's 2925-position model. The record is from RNAcentral. RNAcentral also lists the same sequence under 1 other name. Lineage: Bacteria; Pseudomonadati; Pseudomonadota; Gammaproteobacteria; Enterobacterales; Enterobacteriaceae.